UUUGGAAAGUUUUUAUAUUUUGUUAAUAGAAAUAGAAAUUUUUAUAUUUUUUAUUAUUAGGAAUUUCUAUUUUGUUAAAUUGUAAGUAUCUAUCUCAAUAAGAGAUUAUUAAUAUUCAAAUGAAAGUGAUGAAAGAGAGUAAAUAUUUUAAUGCUCAAUUAUAUUUUAAUGUUAUUUUUUUUUACAUAAGAGUUUAUUUAUGUUUUCAAUUUUGAAGUUCCCUUUCCAAGUCUAGUAACAAAAGUAGUGUCCAACCUUAAAAUGGGCAUGUGUGGUAUUGACGGGAGAUAAUAAGAUGGAAAUCAUAACCAUAACCAUGUUCUCUCUAUGUCUUUCUAUCCUAUUCAAUUAAUUCAUGGGCAUAGAUAUUUUAUUUAGUUUUUAUAUUUAGUUUAUUUAUAGUUUAUUUAGUUUCUAAAAUCCAAUUAGCUAGAUAUUUUAUUUGAUUUUGUUUUUAUAUUUAAGUAGUUGAGUUUUGGAAAGUUUUUAUAUUUUGUUAAUAGAAAUAGAUAUGAGGACUUAAAGGGUUUAUAUUUAGGUAGUGCUUAAGCCAAGGAAAAUGAUAGUCCACUAUCUUGACCCUAUGCAUCACAAACCAUGUGAGGACUUAAAUGACAUCGUAAACAUGGCUCUUCGAAUAUUUGCAAAGAAAACAUCUAAGAGGGAGCCAUCUUAGCAACUAGUGCAGUGUCCAAGACAAGAAGGAGGGUUCGAAUGUGGCUACUUUGUU
Vitis vinifera (wine grape) is the source of this 730-nucleotide long non-coding RNA. RefSeq lists it as uncharacterized. The transcript is spliced from 3 exons. The record is from RefSeq and is a predicted model, not a curated record. NCBI's taxonomy places the organism in Eukaryota, Viridiplantae, Streptophyta, Magnoliopsida, Vitales, Vitaceae.